AUUGAACGCUGGCGGCGUGCUUAACACAUGCAAGUCGAGCGGUAACAGGCGUAGCAAUACGUGCUGACGAGCGGCGAACGGGUGCGUAAUACAUGGGAAUCUGCCCUUUGGUGGGGAAUAACCCGGCGAAAGCCGGGCUAAUGCCGCAUGAGAUCUUCGGAUGAAAGCGGGGGAUCGUAAGACCUCGCGCCGAUGGAUGAGCCCAUGUCGGAUUAGCUAGUUGGUGAGGUAACGGCUCACCAAGGCGACGAUCCGUAGCUGGUCUGAGAGGACGGCCAGCCACACUGGGACUGAGACACGGCCCAGACUCCUACGGGAGGCAGCAGUGGGGAAUAUUGGACAAUGGGCGAAAGCCUGAUCCAGCGACGCCGCGUGUGUGAAGAAGGCCUGCGGGUUGUAAAGCACUUUCGAUGGGAACGAAAUGUGCCGGGCUAAUACCCCGGCAGGCUGACGUUACUCAAUGAAGAAGCACCGGCUAACUCUGUGCCAGCCGCCGCCGUAA
Molecule: ribosomal RNA, 502 nt
Filed under: uncultured bacterium
Lineage: Bacteria
Description: partial 16S ribosomal RNA
Rfam family: Bacterial small subunit ribosomal RNA
Source: RNAcentral